GCGAGUGAAGCGGUAACAGCUCAAAUUUGAAAGCUAGCUCUUUUAGGGUUCGCAUUGUAAUUUGUAGAAGAUGCUUCGGGUGUGGCCCCGGUCUAAGUUCCUUGGAACAGGACGUCAUAGAGGGUGAGAAUCCCGUAUGUGACUGGGUGCUUUCGCUCAUGUGAAGCUCUUUCGACGAGUCGAGUUGUUUGGGAAUGCAGCUCAAAAUGGGUGGUAAAUUUCAUCUAAAGCUAAAUAUUGGCCAGAGACCGAUAGCGCACAAGUAGAGUGAUCGAAAGAUGAAAAGCACUUUGGAAAGAGAGUUAAACAGUAGGUGAAAUUGUUGAAAGGGAAGCGCUUGCAACCAGACUUGCGCGCUGAUGAUCAUCCGGGCUUCUGCCCGGUGCACUCGUCUGCGCUCAGGCCAGCAUCGGUUUUGGUGGUGGGAUAAAGGCCUUGGGAAUGUAGCUUCUUUCGGGGAGUGUUAUAGCCCUCGGUGCAAUGCCGCCUACCGGGACCGAGGACCGCGCU
RNAcentral lists this ribosomal RNA (510 nucleotides) under uncultured Phialophora. RNAcentral describes it as "eukaryotic LSU rRNA". It matches the Rfam family "Eukaryotic large subunit ribosomal RNA", at positions 89 to 601 of the family's 3401-position model. The record is from RNAcentral. Lineage: Eukaryota; Fungi; Ascomycota; Leotiomycetes.